Coffea arabica (coffee) is the source of this 2125-nucleotide non-coding RNA. The record is from RefSeq and is a predicted model, not a curated record. Lineage: Eukaryota; Viridiplantae; Streptophyta; Magnoliopsida; Gentianales; Rubiaceae.
UAGCACCACAUGAAUUCCAAGCCUUCCAUACUUGCAAGGCUACUUUCCCAAAUAUUUGUUCUCAGAUCAGAGCGCUCGAAAGUUCAAUCGCAACCUCCUCUGCACCUUUCUCCUUCUAUCUCUCUUUCCCUCUCUAUUAAUUUUCAGUUUUCCAUAGACAUAUGGUUCCUCUCUUCCUCUCUAUCAUCUAGAUCUGAAUUUAUACAAUCAUGGACACACUUUAAAGACCCUUCCGAUGCAAUGGCAGACUUCAAGGAAAAGCGAUGGUACUUCUACUUCAGUGGAUUAGAGUGAAAUGCUUAUCUCAGUUGGAGUAGAGAAAUGGGUCUUACUGGAAGGCAAAAUGAAAACGGCCCGUCAAAAUUGGAUCUUGAACAUCUAUCAGUUUUUAGGAGUUUGUGUGAAUUUUGGGUUUUUUUUUCCUGAUUUUAUUCUAUGUGGUCUUGUCUGUAUGAUUGGAAAGUUCAAUUUCUGAUGUACUUUCAGGGGAGUUUGGCUGUAGCAGCAGGGAAGUGGGGAAGUGGGUGGCUUUCAGGUGGCACCGCCGGCUCAGUAUAACCCAUUAGACGAGCCGAGUCCAUUGGGAUUGAGGCUGAGGAAAAGUCCUUCCCUUUUGGAAUUGAUCCAAAUGAGGCUUUCUCAAGCUAAUUCACCUAAGGGUGCAAGUUCCAGUAAAAAAGAGCUUAAAGGGGCCGCUGCUUCUGGUUCCUCUGAGAAGCUCAAGGCUUCAAAUUUUCCAGCAACUAUUCUGCGAAUUGGGACCUGGGAGUAUAAGUCAAGAUAUGAAGGGGAUUUGGUAGCAAAGUGUUAUUUUGCAAAGCAUAAGCUUGUACGGGAGGUUCUUGAUGGCGGGCUCAAGAAUAAGAUUGAAAUUCAAUGGUCUGAUAUAAUGGCUUUGAAGGCGAAUUAUCCUGAUGACGGACCGGGGACUUUGGAUGUAGUGCUUGCAGGACAACCUCUUUUCUUUAGGGAGACAACUCCCUAAAAUCACCUCUGAAUUCUGAAUUCUCUGACCAUCUGACUUCCUUCACCGCAAUUUCUUAAUGCUUUUAAUCUCUCUUCACUGACAACUCACUCACAAGCCUCGCCUUACAUAUCUGUCCCGAAUUUGCCAGAAGACAUACUGACCCAUUCAUUUUCUUCCUCCCCACCCUUUGGCCUUCACCGAAGGAAUCCAAGGAAAUCUUUCUUUGAGAACAAAAUUCUUAGAGAAGGGGAAAAAAAGGGAUGAGGGACUGCAAGAUUUUUUGUUCUCUCAUUAGCAGUUGCAUUCUUCUUGUUUCUGUUCUCAAUGGAGCAAAUGCUGAUAACCCAUAUAGGUUCUACACUUGGAAAAUCACUUAUGGUGAUAUAUACCCAUUGGGUGUCAAACAACGGGGAAUCUUGAUAAAUGGGCAGUUUCUAGGGCCACACAUUGACUGUGUCACCGAUGAUAACUUGAUUAUCAGUGUUUACAACUACUUGAACGAGCCUUUCCUUAUUUCUUGGCAUCAUUUUCUGCAGUGUCCACAAGGCUUGUUGGGAAAGCAUUUCGAAAAGCUUAUUCAAUGUGAUCCUCGUCUUAACUUCCUGAGUAAAUAAGGAGAGAUAACGUUGGAUUCUCCAUAUUUUGAACUCAGAAUCUCUGUGUUUGAUGACCCAAGUGAAAACAAAGCUGCAUUUGAUUUGAACAAUCAUGAGAGUCCCACUGUCUUCAACUUGAGGGGAUGCAGCAUCACCAUCAGGUGGUCAAUCAUCAUCUUCGAGGAAUGAACAAGACAUUGUUAGUAGACCUCGAGAAGACAUGAAACACCAUCACCCAGCUCAGUAAUGGAUACGCAUGUAAUUGAAGAAAUAAAAAUGGUGGAGGAGAACAAACAUGAUAUGGUUAUGAAGCUCUCACAAGCUACUUCGAUUAUGGACUUCGCCAAUUAAUGCAAACAUGAUACUCAUUGUAUAUUGGCACAGGGUCUAUCUUAGCAUUUGUUAUCCCUAGCAAUUUUGGUUGUACAUAUUAAAGCCCAAUUAGAAUUUGAUUUGAGUAUCUUUGUGCUUUGUACUGUUGAUAGUAUUGGUUGUAAUAUAUUAUUGCUCGUUUUGUAUUUGUAAUGACAAAUUGGUUUGUUAUUUCGUAUACAAAUUUUGC